Molecule: ribosomal RNA, 429 nt
Filed under: uncultured bacterium
Lineage: Bacteria
Description: bacterial SSU rRNA
Rfam family: Bacterial small subunit ribosomal RNA
Source: RNAcentral
UGGGGAAUCUUCCGCAAUGGACGAAAGUCUGACGGAGCAACGCCGCGUGAGUGAAGAAGGUCUUCGGAUUGUAAAACUCUGUUAUACGGGACGAAAAAGGCGGAUGCCAACAGUAUCCGUCCGUGACGGUACCGUAAGAGAAAGCCACGGCUAACUACGUGCCAGCAGCCGCGGUAAUACGUAGGUGGCAAGCGUUGUCCGGAAUUAUUGGGCGUAAAGGGCGCGCAGGCGGUUCGGUAAGUCUGUCUUAAAAGUGCGGGGCUUAACCCCGUGAGGGGACGGAAACUGUCGAACUUGAGUGUCGGAGAGGAAAGCGGAAUUCCUAGUGUAGCGGUGAAAUGCGUAGAUAUUAGGAGGAACACCGGUGGCGAAAGCGGCUUUCUGGACGACAACUGACGCUGAGGCGCGAAAGCGUGGGGAGCAAACAGG